UACAGAGUUACUACUCCAAACCCAUUGUGAACCUUACCUAUGUUCUGUUGCCUCGGCGGCGUCGGUCAGCGCCCCUCUGAAAAGAGGACGAUGCCCCUCCCGCCGGCAGCACCAAACUCUUGAAUUUUACAGCGGAUUACAGUUCUGAUUUGAAAACAAAAAACAAGUUAAAACUUUCAACAACGGAUCUCUUGGUUCUGGCAUCGAUGAAGAACGCAGCGAAAUGCGAUAAGUAAUGUGAAUUGCAGAAUUCAGUGAAUCAUCGAAUCUUUGAACGCACAUUGCGCCCGGCAGUAAUCUGCCGGGCAUGCCUGUCCGAGCGUCAUUUCAACCCUCGAACCUCCGUUUCCUUAGGGAAGCCUAGGGUCGGUGUUGGGGCGCUACGGCGAGUCCUCGCGACCCCCGUAGGCCCUGAAAUACAGUGGCGGUCCCGCCGCGGUUGCCUUCUGCGUAGUAAGUCUCUUUUGCAAGCUCGCAUUGGGUCCCGGCGGAGGCCUGCCGUCAAACCACCUAACAACUCCAGAUGGUUGACC
Molecule: ribosomal RNA, 533 nt
Filed under: Scedosporium apiospermum
Lineage: Eukaryota; Fungi; Ascomycota; Sordariomycetes; Microascales; Microascaceae
Description: eukaryotic LSU rRNA
Rfam family: 5.8S ribosomal RNA (bases 172-325)
Source: RNAcentral